UGAGGAAUAUUGGUCAAUGGGCGAGAGCCUGAACCAGCCAAGUCGCGUGAGGGAAGACGGUCCUAUGGAUUGUAAACCUCUUUUGCCGGGGAGCAAGGAGCGGCACGUGUGCCGCGCCGAGAGUACCCGGAGAAAAAGCAUCGGCUAACUCCGUGCC
RNAcentral lists this ribosomal RNA (157 nucleotides) under uncultured bacterium. RNAcentral describes it as "partial 16S ribosomal RNA". It matches the Rfam family "Bacterial small subunit ribosomal RNA", at positions 355 to 509 of the family's 1533-position model. The record is from RNAcentral.